Molecule: long non-coding RNA, 1508 nt
Organism: Paramisgurnus dabryanus
Lineage: Eukaryota; Metazoa; Chordata; Actinopteri; Cypriniformes; Cobitidae
Source: RefSeq, a predicted model, not a curated record
CAGCAAAAUCACCAGUGUUAAAUUUUCAGGGAUGGUGUUAAAUACACAGUGUUGAUGCUGUUUUAACACUAUCUGGUAAUAAAAUAACACUGCCAUUGCUAGGCCAGUGUUAUAUUCACGACAGUGUCAGUGUAAAACAAGGGUGUUAUCAGAUUUCACUCUGAGCGGUGUAAAUUAAGCCACGCCUCCACUAAACAUAUCCUGUCAGGGAUUUUACCGCCAUUUUCUUUCACAGGAGGACUGAAGAGAUCAGAUGCUAGUUUGGUGAAAGUUCACACUGAGUGCUUCAAAUCAUUCAGAAGAGAUGCUGUUUUUAGGGCAGUUUAUUAAAGAAGACCUGACAUGGAUGACUUCCAAUGAGAAACGACUGCUAAUACUUAUAUAAAUUCAUUACAGAAGGACCCUACCAGACUAUAUUUGAAUACGGCAUACCCAUGAAUUCUGGAACUGUUAUUCCUUAACCCAGUUUGGAGGAUAAGAGCUUACCAACUAGUUAUAAAUAUGCUGAGGUGAUGUAUUGCAAAAUAGCCAACAUACAACAAUAUGGAUGACCCUCUGUCUGGUCAACAGGAGUUUAAAUAUGGACGGGACAGUGAUGUGGCAGCUCUUCCCUGGCUCAUUCACCUCUUGCCUUUCAUUUGUGAAAGGAAGAAAGACUGGAGAGGGUCAAUGUGCAACUGAAGCUACAGAUUGUGCUAUGUGAUGAGCAUCAAUCCAUGCUUUGAGGGGAAUGAAUCAGCACAGCCCUGCCUGCACUGCGUUGGGAACAGAAGUUGCAUCCAGAAUUUUUGCAUCAUUCUGGACCAAAAAGCCAUUCCCUCCAUGAUGAAGACCACUGAUGCAGCCUUCCACUACAUCAUGAGUAAAACAACUACAGAACUAAAUACCAGGUUGGAACGUAUUUAAGAAAAAUGAAACGUCUUUUGAAUUGAAAUGUCUGUUUUGUUAUGGAAAAAUCUUUAGUAUUGUGAAGGAUAAGCAUUUCUGCCUGCCAGUAAGGUAAUUGCAGUGUAUUUUAAUGUUCAAGUUUUGAGUAGGGUGGCUAAUUUUUUUUUAAACUCUCAUUUGAUAUAUUAAAGACCUUUAUAAUAAGUGGUUUCAUGUCACUGCGCUGUGGUAUAAGAUAACUUUCAUUAUUCCAUACUGUAUUCUGUUUCUAAUUGUAGCUGAGGUAUUUAAAUAAGCAGUGUUAAAUGCAAAGUGUUGUGUGUAUCAAUGUAAAUAUUAAAUGUGAUGUACUUUAAUAAAAAGAGGUUUUGCAAUAUUUCUUGUCAUUUGUCUUUUAUAGAAACAACCCAUUAGCAACAAAAGUGGCUAUUAAUCAGUAUUUUAACACUUAACAUUGUUGAAUUCACAUUACACUGGUGUUGACUUUAAAUUAGGAGUGUUAAUUUUUAACACUGUAUUUCUGUGCCAACACCAGUGUAGUGUGGAAACAACAAUGAAUAGUGUUGAACAAAGUGUAAAAUUUAACAAUAUUGAGUGUUAAAUUAACAUAUAAUGAGUGU